AGCAACCCACACAAUGGCGCAGGCGCACUAGGCCACUCCCCUCCCCCGGGGAGUGGCGGGGAGAUUGGGAGCAAGAAGGCAGGGCGGAAGAGUGCGCGCGGGCUACUGGGAAAUGUAGGCUGGGCGGGACGAAGAAAGAAGAGGAAGAAGGGAUUAGAUCUCUCGGCCACCAUACUGCCUCAAUCUGCACCUUCUUUAUCCCUCGGGGACCGCCCCACUUCCGGCCAGGCGGAGAAAUGGCUGCUGGGAGAUGAAGUCCUCCCGGUGAUGAAAGACUCCGUCCCUCGGAUUCCACUCCAUUGGAUGCCACAGCCGGCGCAAGUCCGGCCAAGGGACAGGCAGCUGGGGACUCACAGUGAAAAAUAGGAUUCUUACAUCGGGACCCAGCCCACGUGUAUCAAAACCAGCUUCCUAAAACAUCAGAGGAUUCCGCUCCACAGCAACAGCACCCACUUUAUGCAGACAGGGGAAAGCCCAACAUCAACACAAUAAGCCGAAUUCAGCUUGGUGGUUUCCUCUUUAUUGAUGCGCCUCCUAUCUCCCCCCCAGUUUCAGUCCCUUCCAUCUACCCCCAAAAAAGAAGGUAGUGAAAGGAAGGGAUUGUUGGGGUCCGCAACCCCUUGGGCAGUUAGAAAGGGAACAGAAACCAGAACAAUCACUGGGUGCAACAGAGACUGACAAUCCAGAAGUCUAAAGCAGAGUGGGAAAGGCGGGUGGAGAACGGGGGAGAGAGGAGAGGCUCCCAUGACCCCUCCUGCUAAGGGUGGGAGGGAAGCCUCCGCCGGUAAGUGCAGGUCCUGGAGAAAGAAGGUGGUGCUGGAGCCUGGAGGAGGAGGGGAGGUCAAGGCAGGGGGGACCCCCCACCUCAGGGGCAGCAGCUUCACAGGCCGUAGACACUUUCGUCACUGUAGGCAAUGUACAGAAAGAAGUCCUCUUCGUGGUGCUCCUGGGGGUGUGAGCAGAAAAGCAGGCUUCAGCUACUCGGACCAUCCACUGCUCCCGUUCUUCAAGAACCAUUCUCCGGCAAGAGCCCCCAGGCCAGUCCCCCCCCCCCCCCACACACACACGCCAAGCCUUCCAGCCAAGAGAAUCAUCCCUGCAGCAGUCCUGGGCAGAAAAGAUCUCAACGAGUUCUCUGCUGCCUUGGAGCGGGGCAGAGCCCUGGCCAGGGCAGUUCCUCCCGCUUACUGUGCUCUUUCCUUCUAUUCUGUUCCCUCUGCUCUGUCCCAGAUCUCCACCCCAGGACUGUCACGAAGUGUGAAGGCUCGCUCGCCGGCUAAUCCAAGAACUGCUGACCCGACACAUCUUCCCCCUCAAGCUCUCCCGUUCAGAACUCCUCAGUCCAAAGCCCUACUCCUUCCGAGACACCAUACCUGGUAGAGCUGACCCAUGGUGGCACUGGUGGGUGGAAUGACGUUGUUGACAAAGAAAAACAAGGCAUCCUCAGCUCGGAGAUGAAUUCGCUUCCGGAUCAGGAAGUAGAACUGACCGACUACCAAACAUACGAGGAACAAGAGAGUCACAGGGUCAUAACUGCCCUCCUAUGAACAGCUGCUAAGUGGAGCCGCCUCCCAGAAGCUCAACUCCCACCCACAGGAAGCAGACCCAGGGGCCACCAGGUUCCCACCUGUGAGAUCAGAAGGCACCAGGUAUUUUUUUUUGUCCAGGUCUCCUAUCCGAGCUUUGGGAGCCUUUUCUACUAUCACCUGAUAUCGGGAAGGGGAAAAUGGGGACACAUGAGGAACACCGCCCGGCUGCUCCACCUGUCAGGAACUCAAGCAGCAACAUCAGCAGUCCCUAAACCUACCCCAGACUCCCUUCCUCUUGUCCCUGCAUACAUGGGGCAGCCCUGAGUCCAGAGAUCCUCGCCCCACUGGCCUGAGCUCACCCUAACAUUCGGGACGAGCCCCGAAUAGGGCGUCACAAUAAACAAUUUUCUUCCCCAGACGGGCAGGACUCGUCCGGACCCACAGACUUCGCCAGGUGGGGGGAUGGCCCCAGGAAGCUCGGGCUGUCAAGCCCCCUAAGGCCUCCACUCACGAAUGCCAAGGUUCUUCUCUCCUGCCCCACGUCUUCUUGCUUCCACUUCUCCCACUCCCCGGGUCCUUUCGCUCCCGCUCUCAGGGACAUCCAUUUCAGGCUCGCUCCCAACCCCGCCGUGGCCAGCAGCCUGAGCCCGCUGCUGCCCGUCCGGAACCCAAGCUCAGGCUGUGGCGUCAGCAUCAGCGCCCCGCGCCCCGCGCCCCCGCCACUCUCCUCACCGGGACCCGGUCCGGGUAUUUCUUUCUGAUCUUCUCGCCCUCAGAGCGGCGCUUCUCGAACGGAUGCUCCUCCUUGUACACGAACUUCAUCCUCCCGGGAACCGGGCUGGACCGGGCUGGGAAGAGGGAAGCCAGGGAGGGGGGGCCGGGACGGGGGGCGGCGGCGACGGAGGCGACGCGGGCAGACGCGGCGGAGCGAUCCACGGAUUUGCGCCACUUCCCUAUUCACCAACCCCGCCCCCGACCAUCAGGGGCCGCCCUAACUGCUAAGAUACGCCAGUAGCUCAGCGGCGUCAACGCAGCUGGCGUAGCGCCACCCACUGACCGCCGCUUACGCUAUCAGCGUAAUCGCUUUGGAAUUAAUUUGCGAGCUACGCAAGCGACGCAGCGAAGCUGGUGGGCUUUUACUCCCGCCGCAAAUAAUUGAAACCCAUUCCCCAACCUUCCCCUCUCGGGAGCUGGGGGCGAAGGGUAGUGGGGGGUGCCCAGGAUACAAGACUUGACUCGGCAGACGUUCUUUUCGGAAAUAGCGUAGAGGAAGAGCAAUUUCAAGGACAGCUAUUCACAGAACCUGCCGCUACGCUGAAGGCGGCCGUUGACACCAAAACAAAGUAGUACCUAAGCGGCGGCGAAUCUCCGGAAGUAAAAGUGGAGAAAAGAAACCGAUGUUUGGACGCAUGUAUAAAAUACUUGGGCUUCAGGAAUGAGUGGGCCAGUGGGGACUAGAGGAGGGCCGAAAAGCAAGGACUAGGCCAGGGCGGAGGAACACCUUCAGGGUGUGCAACUGCACAAUCAUGUGAUCUCAGAGAAGGGCGGAGCGUCACGUGGCGAGUGGAGAAGUAGGGCCGGCUCGGGAGGCGCGGCCGCCCGGGGCGCAAGGGGCGGGCUCGGGCGCCGCCUGCGUCAGCGAGGUGCGGGGGCAGCGCCCGCUGAGCUUAUCUGCUUCAGUCCCCGGGCGAACCCUGGUCUUUGUCCAGUUCUAUGCCCUUUAGGGCCCCGGGUUUCUCCUUUCCUCUCCUAUAGCCUACUGCUCGGGGGCGCUUCCGCUCGCCGGCGUCCUGCGCCGCCCAUCUUGUCACCCGGCUCACCGCGCCAUCCGGUGCUCAGCGCCCAGGUCUCUCCUGCCCUGGGAUACAGCCGUGUCUUACCCCUCUGUCCCCUCCCUUCAGUUCCCGGAACCCCAGAGAAGGAUCUAGGGCAGCUUUGGUUUCAAAGUUAUAAUGCAUGGUUUAAAAGAGAGGAAAGGAAAAAAAGAGAUAAAGUUGGUUACAGGUCUGAGGAAUCUAGGGAGAGAAAAAUAGAAGGAAAGUAAGGGAAGGGUAAAUUAGGGGAGAUCCAGUGACCCAAAUCCCCAGUCUCCCACCCACAGCCCAGCCCUUGAAGCGGGAGUGAAGAAUUAGAUCAGUUUUGUACAAGAGUUUUAAAAAAAAUCAAAUCACAGCAAAGCUGACUCGGCUUCUCUUUGAGCCUCCUGGGUCACGCACGGUAUGUCUGUCUCUCUGGCCAGUCCUGUCUCCACCAGACACGGCUCGGUUCUCCUAGGCCUCGGCCUGUCCCAGUCUGGGUUUCCAUGGAGUGUGACCGUGAACUGAGUGAGGCUGCUUGGAAGCCUGGCCCGUGUGUCCAUCCAGACUCCGAGGGCAGCGAGGGGUGGGAAGGGCACACCCUGCCCAGGCAGUCCUCACAUUGGACAGGGCAUCCGACAGCAUCCCGAGGGCUCGCCCUCCCGUUCCCCCCCACCCCAAUGCAGGUGGAGGGGGAGCAGCUGUCACCAGAGCCUAUGUUGAUGAAGGUUUCGGCUCAGCACGGAGCGGACGUCAGCGGUGAACCUAGGGUGACAAUCACGUGUGUUAGCAGAGUGCCUCCUUUACAGCUCCCGUCCUCACAGCGCCAGUGCACCAUGGCCUCACUGGAGAUGUGGGACAGAAUUUGCCAUCAACUUCUCAAGAGGAGGGUGAGAAGAUGCAGAUGAGGAAAAACGCAAGAUUCAAGAGAGACCGUAUUUGUCUCUUCAUAUCGGCGGGACAAGGAGGAAUCACUACUUAUGAACACACACCUCCCUCAUCCCAAAAUCAAAAUAAAACCUUCCUGACUUAUCCUCCAAAAUCGAAUGGGAUUUUAACCACCAGAUCGCAUACCAGUGUGAGGUUUCUGGUCAAACUUAUUGCUACUGUGCCUCACUUACAACAAAUGGGAGAAGUCAGAUUUAUGAGAUGACAUAUGGGAAGGGGGGUUCUUAUCUGAAAUAGAGGACAACUUGCAUUCAGACAGAUACACGUUUAGAUCUAGGAUCAACCAGGCAAUUUCAGCUCUCCAGGACCGAGGUCCGGAUCUCCAGCCUCCAAAUUCUCUGCAUUCACAAUACCUCCU
This is a non-coding RNA of Oryctolagus cuniculus (rabbit), 4631 nucleotides long. Lineage: Eukaryota; Metazoa; Chordata; Mammalia; Lagomorpha; Leporidae. The record is from RefSeq and is a predicted model, not a curated record.